UGGGGGAUAUUGGACAAUGGGGGAAACCCUGAUCCAGCGAUGCCGCGUGAGGGAAGAAGGUUUUCGGAUUGUAAACCUCUGUGGACAGGGACGAUAAUGACGGUACCUGUCAAGGAAGCCACGGCUAACUACGUGCCAGCAGCCGCGGUAAUACGUAGGUGGCGAGCGUUGUCCGGAAUUACUGGGUGUAAAGGGAGUGUAGGCGGGAAAGCAAGUCAGAAGUGAAAACUAUGGGCUCAACCCAUAGCCUGCUUUUGAAACUGUUUUUCUUGAGUGAAGUAGAGGCAAGCGGAAUUCCUAGUGUAGCGGUGAAAUGCGUAGAUAUUAGGAGGAACACCAGUGGCGAAGGCGGCUUGCUGGGCUUUUACUGACGCUGAGGCUCGAAAGCGUGGGGAGCAAACAGG
This 404-nucleotide ribosomal RNA is filed under the name uncultured bacterium. RNAcentral's name for it is "bacterial SSU rRNA". It matches the Rfam family "Bacterial small subunit ribosomal RNA", at positions 355 to 776 of the family's 1533-position model. The record is from RNAcentral.